RNAcentral lists this ribosomal RNA (429 nucleotides) under Gemmatimonadota bacterium. Its description in RNAcentral is "Gemmatimonadetes bacterium partial 16S ribosomal RNA". It matches the Rfam family "Bacterial small subunit ribosomal RNA", at positions 355 to 776 of the family's 1533-position model. Lineage: Bacteria; Pseudomonadati; Gemmatimonadota. The record is from RNAcentral.
UAGGGAAUCUUCGGCAAUGGACGAAAGUCUGACCGAGCAACGCCGCGUGAGUGAAGAAGGUUUUCGGAUCGUAAAACUCUGUUGUUAGAGAAGAACAAGGACGUUAGUAACUGAACGUCCCCUGACGGUAUCUAACCAGAGAGCCACGGCUAACUACGUGCCAGCAGCCGCGGUAAUACGUAGGUGGCAAGCGUUGUCCGGAUUUAUUGGGCGUAAAGCGAGCGCAGGCGGUUUCUUAAGUCUGAUGUGAAAGCCCCCGGCUCAACCGGGGAGGGUGAUUGGAAACUGGGAGACUUGAGUGCAGAAGAGGAGAGUGGAAUUCCAUGUGUAGCGGUGAAAUGCGUAGAUAUAUGGAGGAACACCAGUGGCGAAGGCGGCUCUCUGGUCUGUAACUGACGCUGAGGCUCGAAAGCGUGGGGAGCAAACAGG